RNAcentral lists this ribosomal RNA (477 nucleotides) under uncultured Planctomycetota bacterium. RNAcentral describes it as "bacterial SSU rRNA". It matches the Rfam family "Bacterial small subunit ribosomal RNA", at positions 365 to 832 of the family's 1533-position model. Lineage: Bacteria; Pseudomonadati; Planctomycetota. The record is from RNAcentral.
UUCGCAAUGCCCGAAAGGGUGACAAUGCGACGCCGCGUGUGCGAUGAAGGUUUUCGGAUCGUAAAGCACUGUCGAUCGGGAUGAAUCUCGGGAGGCUUAAUAAGCUUUCUGGGUGACAGUACCGGUAGAGGAAGCCACGGCUAACUCCGUGCCAGCAGCCGCGGUAAUACGGAGGUGGCAAGCGUUACUCGGAUUGAUUGGGUGUAAAGGGUAUGUAGGUGGUGAAUUAAGUCGAACGUGAAAUCCCUUGGCUUAACCAAGGAAUUGCGUUCGAAACUGAUUCGCUUGAGCGAUGGAGAGGAAAGGGGAAUUCCCGGUGUAACAGUGAAAUGUGUAGAUAUCGGGAGGAACACCAGUGGCGAAGGCGCCUUUCUGGACAUUUGCUGACACUGAGAAUACGAGAGCUAGGGGAGCAAACAGGAUUAGAUACCCUGGUAGUCCUAGCCGUAAACGAUGGGCACUAAGUAGAGGGGUUUU